UACGUAGGUGGCGAGCGUUGUCCGGAUUUAUUGGGCGUAAAGCGAGCGCAGGUGGUUUAUUAAGUCUGGUGUAAAAGGCAGUGGCUCAACCAUUGUGUGCAUUGGAAACUGGUAGACUUGAGUGCAGGAGAGGAGAGUGGAAUUCCAUGUGUAGCGGUGAAAUGCGUAGAUAUAUGGAGGAACACCGGUGGCGAAAACGGCUCUCUGGCCUGUAACUGACACUGAGGCUCGAAAGCGUGGGGAGCAAACAGG
This 252-nucleotide ribosomal RNA is filed under the name uncultured bacterium. Its description in RNAcentral is "partial 16S ribosomal RNA". It matches the Rfam family "Bacterial small subunit ribosomal RNA", at positions 524 to 776 of the family's 1533-position model. The record is from RNAcentral.